GAUGAACGCUGGCGGCGUGCCUAAUACAUGCAAGUCGAGCGAACAGACGAGGAGCUUGCUCCUCUGACGUUAGCGGCGGACGGGUGAGUAACACGUGGAUAACCUACCUAUAAGACUGGGAUAACUUCGGGAAACCGGAGCUAAUACCGGAUAAUAUAUUGAACCGCAUGGUUCAAUAGUGAAAGACGGUUUUGCUGUCACUUAUAGAUGGAUCCGCGCCGCAUUAGCUAGUUGGUAAGGUAACGGCUUACCAAGGCAACGAUGCGUAGCCGACCUGAGAGGGUGAUCGGCCACACUGGAACUGAGACACGGUACAGACUCCUACGGGAGGCAGCAGUAGGGAGUCUUCCGCAAUGGGCGAAAGCCUGACGGAGCAACGCCGCGUGAGUGAUGAAGGUCUUCGGACCGUAAAACUCUGUUAUUAGGGAAGAACAAAUGUGUAAGUAACUAUGCACGUCUUGACGGUACCUAAUCAGAAAGCCACGGCUAACUACGUG
Molecule: ribosomal RNA, 497 nt
Filed under: uncultured bacterium
Lineage: Bacteria
Description: partial 16S ribosomal RNA
Rfam family: Bacterial small subunit ribosomal RNA
Source: RNAcentral